Molecule: ribosomal RNA, 157 nt
Filed under: uncultured fungus
Lineage: Eukaryota; Fungi
Description: 5.8S ribosomal RNA
Rfam family: 5.8S ribosomal RNA
About the family: 5.8S ribosomal RNA (5.8S rRNA) is a component of the large subunit of the eukaryotic ribosome. It is transcribed by RNA polymerase I as part of the 45S precursor that also contains 18S and 28S rRNA. Functionally, it is thought that 5.8S rRNA may be involved in ribosome translocation.
Source: RNAcentral
AAACUUUCGACAACGGAUCUCUUGGCUCUGGCAUCGAUGAAGAACGCAGCGAAAUGCGAUAAGUAAUGUGAAUUGCAGAAUCCAGUGAAUCAUCGAAUCUUUGAACGCACAUUGCGCCCGCCAGCAUUCUGGCGGGCAUGCCUGUUCGAGCGUCAUU